Asterias rubens (European starfish) is the source of this 977-nucleotide long non-coding RNA. RefSeq lists it as uncharacterized. NCBI's taxonomy places the organism in Eukaryota, Metazoa, Echinodermata, Asteroidea, Forcipulatida, Asteriidae. The transcript is spliced from 3 exons. The record is from RefSeq and is a predicted model, not a curated record.
CGGAGCAGCACGCCGUACCUCUCGGCUCUCCAAUUUUGGACGUCGCGUUUUCUGAUGAACUUUUUUACCCGUAAAUGUGUCGAAACUCUUACCCUGGCCAGCCAUGUGCAUUCAGAAAUAUUCCUACUAUAACUGUUGCACGUUUGGUACCAAUUUGGCCUUGAUUUGAAGUAGGCCUACGAGACAAAAUGUAUGAAAUUUGUGCCUUUUUUUCACUGGGUGGCUAGACAAGCUUUUACUAAAAACUGCAGUCGAGCACAUUUUAGAGAUUCCCACGAAGUUCUCAAGAUCAACUAUAGACUUUGAAAGCAUUAUAGUGAGUGGAUGGGGAACUCCGCUGAAUUGCCGUAGAAUGCUGUGUAAAACUUCACAACGAAGGCUGGACACAUCGACCAAACAACAUUGUUUUUGUUGAGAAACGGGUUGAACAGCUGAUGCAGCUGUUAGCAAUGGACGGAAACUGGGGGCAAUUUGAGGGCCGACCCAGCACACAACAGCGACCUCUCAUUCAAACAUGCUUCAAGAGACAACGAUGGGACUGUUGAGUCCUCUCAAGAGAGUGUGACCAGAUGGCAGUUGAAGAUCUUCGAUAUGUGGUAUCUGGGCAUACAUUGGACGUCAGGAACCAAGCCUGUCCAGAUGGGUGUUGAAGAUCAAUGGAUUUGUGGUAUGAGGACGUACUUGGAGGUCACCAAAGGACCAAGGUAAAAACAACUUUGCCGUAUAUCCAACCUCCAACCGCCGUACUUUUUAAAGUACGCUUUUGCGAUUUACCUUUUUUUUUUUUUUCUCAACUGCCAGUAAAUACAAUUGAGUAAAAAAGGAACACACAAAUGUAAACACACAAACAUUUUAUUUUUUGUGUUUUUUUCAAAAAAAGUACCAACAAUUUUACAAGUUUGCACCUGAUUAAUUGAUAUCAUUGAACUGAAAUGAAAAUGCAUAAAACACUCUUUUGAGUUUCGAUUUUCCUGAUU